ACCUAACACUGUUGCUUCGGCGGGGAGCCCUCUCGGGGGCGAGCCGCCGGGGACUACUGAACUUCAUGCCUGAGAGUGAUGCAGUCUGAGUCUGAAUAUAAAAUCAGUCAAAACUUUCAACAAUGGAUCUCUGUGGUUCCGGCAUCGAUGAAGAACGCAGCGAACUGCGAUAAGUAAUGUGAAUUGCAGAAUUCAGUGAAUCAUCGAGUCUUUGAACGCACAUUGCGCCCCCUGGCAUUCCGGGGGGCAUGCCUGUCCGAGCGUCAUUGCUGCCCAUCAAGCCCGGCUUGUGUGUUGGGUCGUCGUCCCCCCCGGGGGACGGGCCCGAAAGGCAGCGGCGGCACCGUGUCCGGUCCUCGAGCGUAUGGGGCUUUGUCACCCGCUCGAUUAGGGCCGGCCGGGCGCCAGCCGACGUCUCCAACCAUUUUCUUCAGGUUGACCUCGGAUCAGGUAGGGAUACCCGCUGAACU
This 470-nucleotide ribosomal RNA is filed under the name Aspergillus tennesseensis. RNAcentral describes it as "eukaryotic LSU rRNA". The stretch from base 112 to 266 matches the Rfam family "5.8S ribosomal RNA". Lineage: Eukaryota; Fungi; Ascomycota; Eurotiomycetes; Eurotiales; Aspergillaceae. The record is from RNAcentral.